GUACAGUAGAUUCUGUAAUUUUUAGGAAUUCGGACGCAGUGACUAUAGCUGAUUGUAUUUUGGACGUAGUUUGUUGAUAUUAAUUUUCGCCAAAUUUUCUGCGAACUGGUAAAUGUUUGUGUGUUCAGCACAUCACAUCAACCAGUUGAGAAGCAGUACUCCACUCUUACCACAAUUCCAAUCGCUAUUGUGUCAAACAGUUUAAUUUUCUUAUCCAGCUGAUAUUUUAUUUUGGUUAAUACACCAGAACUUCUAAGAUCGAAAUGAAGGCAAAUUUCGUCAUUCUCCUUAUUGCCAUUUUGGCUAUAAGUGCUUUUGCUCCAAUCGUGGUUGAAGCUUGUUUAAAACAUGACUCGCCAUGCAAAGGAGCACAUAGAAGCCAAUCAACUUGCUGUAAAGGAUUGUAUUGCCAUAAACCCAAUCCAACAUGGGCCGAAGGACGUUGCUUAUACCGAUAAUAACCUGUGUAAUAAUAUUAUGUCCAAAUAAUCGACACUCAAGUUGACAUACACUACUUGCUUCAAUCGAACAUUGAAUAAAAAGACGUUUAGAAUUGAA
Molecule: long non-coding RNA, 558 nt
Organism: Sitodiplosis mosellana (orange wheat blossom midge)
Lineage: Eukaryota; Metazoa; Arthropoda; Insecta; Diptera; Cecidomyiidae
Exons: 4
Source: RefSeq, a predicted model, not a curated record